This 512-nucleotide long non-coding RNA is filed under the name Sinocyclocheilus grahami. RNAcentral's name for it is "lncRNA (ENSSGRG00000030861.1)". The record is from RNAcentral. Lineage: Eukaryota; Metazoa; Chordata; Actinopteri; Cypriniformes; Cyprinidae.
CUUUCCACAUGAGACCAUGAGAAUGAAUGUAUACCUAACUUGUUUGUUUACAGCUCUACAAAGUAGCUAGAUUUUAAUUUAAUUUAAUUCAUGAAAUCCAUUUUGAGCCUUGUCAUUCACCAUCAUUUUGUGAUUUGUCCCUCAGCCUUCUUCAUCUUGCUCGUUUGAUGGAAGUUUGAAAUCAGAGAGCAGUGACUCAGAGCCAAGAUGGCCAGAGGUUCCUCCUGUGCUUAACCAGAAUGAGGAUCGGAGAAGAAACAAGUACCUGAGAAAAGACUACCUGAAGUAUAAGUGCCAAAGUGCUCGAAGAAACUCCAGUGGCAACGACAAUGAUUGUGAGGUGAGACUUUGUGCUGUGACUGUCUACGUGCCAAGAUUCUCCUUGCAUGAAUAUUUAUUAGAGGCCAGCUGAGUCACAUCACCACAGUAGAGCAACUCCACAAUUAAAGGGGUCAUGAAAUGCAGUUUUAGUUCUUCAUAAUAUUUCCCAAGGUCUGUUUAUAAAAAAAGGG